Molecule: long non-coding RNA, 4044 nt
Filed under: Olea europaea subsp. europaea
Lineage: Eukaryota; Viridiplantae; Streptophyta; Magnoliopsida; Lamiales; Oleaceae
Source: RNAcentral
UUCAAGUAAAAAUAGAGUUGUAUUGUUAUUAUUAUUAUUGUUUGAUAAAAAGUAAAUACAUGAUUCUAUUUUGCAAUUUUUUUUUUUUAACUUAAAGAAGUAAGAAAUAUGAAUCUCACGUACAUGUAAUCAAGAUGUACAAUUUUUUGACAAUUGUUAUCAACUUUGAUAUAUACACAACAACUGUUGUCCAGAAUGUAAAGUGAGAAUGUAAAAGUAAUUUUGAAAAUGUGAAUUUACAUCAAAUAUUUCAUCUCUUGCUCCUCUACAUUAGGACAACCUUAUAAGGUGAUGCUCGAAUAAUUCGCCAAGUUUUGGUUCAAUAAUUCUUAACCGCCAAGCAUGAUUUCAAAAAUCGAUGGCUCCUCGUUGCGUAACCCGGCCCUUUCUCCUCCUUCCCAAGCCUCCAUUAAAUAAUCUCGCAUCAGUAUCCAUCUAUAGAUUUUCUACGGUUACAAAGGCUACUCAAGUGCCCUCCAUUUACAGAAAGACAUUUUCCCAUAUAUUCCAAGGAUGCUCCAGCCAAAGAGCACUAGACCCGGGCAAACAGGCCCAUGCUCGAGUUAUAAUAUCUGGGUUCAAACCCACGAUUUUUGUCACCAAUUGCUUGAUUCAAAUGUACAUCAGAUGUUGCCGUUUGGAUUGUGCUAAUAAAGUGUUCGAUCAAAUGUCUCAACGUGACACAGUUUCGUGGAACGCCAUGAUUUUUGGAUAUUCGAUUAGUGGGAAGAUGGGUUUGGCGCAGGCUUCUUUUGAUAUGAUGCCUGAGAAAGAUGUGAUUUCUUGGAAUUCUCUGAUAUCUGGGUACUUGCAGAAUGGGAAUUAUUUAAAGGCAGUUGAGAUUUUUGCAGUAAUGCGGAGAGAGGAUUUUUUUUACGAUGAGACCACUUUUGCUGGUAUUUUAAGAGCAUGUUCAGGUUUAGAAGAUAAUGUUUUGGGGGUUCAGGUACAUGGGAUUGUAGUCAAGUUGGGGUUUGAUUCUGAUGUGGUAACAGGGAGCGCAAUUUUAGAUAUGUAUGGCAAAUGCAAGAGGUUGGAUGAGUCGCUGCGUUUUUUUGAUCAAAUGCCAGAGAGAAAUUGGGUUUCUUGGAGCGCAUUGAUAGCAGGUUGUGUGCAGAAUGACGAACCUGUGGGUGGGAUAGAGCUAUUCAAAGAGAUGCAAAGAGUGGGAGUUGGGGUAAGUCAAUCUACAUAUGCAAGUGUUUUCAGGUCUAGUGCAGGUUUAGCAGCUUUAAGGUUGGGUUCUCAAUUGCAUGGUCAUUCGUUGAAGAACAAUUUUGGAGUUGAUGUCAUUGUAGGAACUGCCACAUUGGACAUGUAUGCAAAGUGUAACAAUUUAGAUGAUGCGAGGAAGGUGUUCAAUUUGUUGCCAAACCAUAACUUGCAAUCUUAUAAUGCGUUAAUUACUGGAUAUGCUAGAUGUGAUCGUGGACUCGAAGCUUUACAAUUAUUUUUGCACUUGUUGAAGGCUGGUCUUGGUUUUGAUGAAAUAAGCCUAUCAGGUGCAUUUAGUGCCUGUGCAGUGAUUAAUGGACUUCUAGAGGGAAUUCAAGUACAUGGAUUGGCAACAAAGACACCUUUCCAGUCUAAUAUUUGUGUAGGUAAUGCCAUUUUGGAUAUGUAUGGAAAAUGUGGAUCACUGGUUGAAGCUUGGUGUGUAUUCGACAGAAUGAAAACAAGGGAUGCUGUCUCUUGGAAUGCAAUAAUUGCCUCUUGCGAACAGAACAAAUGUGAGGAGGAAACUCUAUUGCUAUUUACUUGGAUGCUUCAGUCAAGGAUGGAGCCGGAUGAAUUCACUUAUGGCAGUGUUUUAAAAGCUUGUGCAGGUAGACAAGCUCUGAAUUCUGGAAGGGAGAUCCAUGGUAGAGUUAUCAAGUCCGGAAUGGGGUUGGACACAUUUGUUGGGAUUGUUCUAGUGGAUAUGUACUGCAAGUGCUCGGUGAUAGAAGAUGCAGAGAAACUUCAUCACAGAAUGGAGGAGCAGACAACAGUUUCAUGGAAUGCAAUCAUGUCUGGGUUCUCAUCUCAUGAACAGAGUGAGGGAGCUCAGAUUUGCUUUUCUAAGAUGUUAGAAAUGGGUGUCAAACCUGAUAAUUUCACAUUUGCCACAAUUCUCGAUUCUUGUGCUAAUCUAGCAACUGUAGGUCUUGGGAAGCAGAUCCAUGCUCAAAUCAUCAAGCAGGACUUGCAAUCAGAUGUGUACAUCAACAGCACUCUAGUUGACAUGUAUUCAAAAUGUGGAAACAUGCAGGAUUCUAGGUUGAUGUUUGAUAAAUCGCCUAAUCGUGAUUUUGUGACAUGGAAUGCUAUGGUUUGUGCCUAUGCUAACCAUGGACUUGGUGAAGAAGCUUUACAAAUUUUUGAGAAAAUGCAGAUUCAGAAUGUAAGACCAAAUCACGCAACUUUUGUGGCAGUUCUUCGUGCUUGUGCACAUAUUUGUCUUGUUGAGAGAGGGUUGUUCUACUUCAACUCUAUGCAAACUGACUACGGAUUAGAUCCACAGUUGGAACAUUACUCGUCUAUGGUGGAUAUACUUGGUAGAUCAGGUCAAGUUACUGAUGCUCUGAAGCUUAUUGAAGAAAUGCCUUUCGAGGCUGAUGAUGUAAUUUGGAGAACCCUGCUUAGUAUUUGCAGGAUGCAUGGGAAUGUCGAGGUGGCAGAAAAAGCAGCAAGUUCUCUUCUGCAAUUGGACCCUGAGGACUCUUCGGCCUAUGUUCUUCUAUCGAAUAUUUAUGCUGAUGCAGAGAUGUGGACAGAGGUUUCAAAUAUGAGGAAAGUGAUGAGGUAUAGUAGGCUGAAAAAGGAACCAGGCUGCAGCUGGAUUGAGGUCCUGUCGGAGGUACAUAUGUUUCUUGCCAUGGACAAAGCUCAUCCAAGAUGUAGAGAGAUAUAUGAGAACCUGGAUAUGCUAAUUAGUGAGAUGAGAUUGGCCGGAUAUGUGUCUGAUAGCAAGCUUAUGAUAUGUGAUAUAGGGACAGAAGAUGGGCAGCAAGAACUGCAUCCUGCAUAUGCAGUCUCUUCUUUUUGAGGCAUUCUACAAAUUAAAAUUUGAGAGCCUUUUCGAGUAUAUUAAAAUCCUAUUGGUUCUCCCUCCAAUUAGAAGGAAGUUUGACUUGGAUUAUCUUGGUUCAGUUCAGAUUUUUGGUCAUGCUAUGCUCAUUUACAAGUCAAUGAGCCAAUGGAAGUUAAUGAUGCUCAUGGCUAUUCAUGUUGCCUUCCAACUGCUAAUUUUUUGGCGUUUGAAAGGAGGAGAGAAAAUUGGGAACUCCAGAGUAAAAGGCAGUAAAUUACCACACUUAGUUCCAGUCUCUGAAUUCCUCGUUACAUUUUGUUUUCUUCUCUGACUGGGCGAAUAUUUUGCAGACUCGUACAGACAUCAUCAACUGCAAUCUGAAUGGUGUCAAUUGUGGAUUGGACACUCCAAAAUCAAGUUUUCUGAUUCGUGAUGUCAUCCAGUGGUUUGGUGAGUGCAGCCAAUCUCCCAAUGGUUGAUACCUAGUCUUGGGUAGGGAAGAACCCUGUAUUCUCCUUGUGUUGUUAUAAUGGAAGAUUUGCUCGGUUCAUACAUGGUUUUUCCCCAUGUUGGGGUUACCCUGUGAAUCUUGUGUGACUUUUUUAUUUUCUUGCUGCUGCUAUUUAAUCUUUUUUGUUUGGCCUGUUUUGGUACACCAGGGAAGAUUUGUUCUUGGUGAAUGGAUCACGAAGGUGUUGAAAAGGAAAAGAGCAACAUGAAAGCAAACCUGAUAGACAGUCUAUUACAAGGACUCAACAAAACAAAAGCCAGAAAAUCAUAUUCUCUCGCUGCCACAUCUAAAACAAGUAUGUCCAAGUUAACCUACUUCUCAGAGGAACGCACUAAAUCUAGUUCAGCCAUUGUUAAAAUUUCGGCUGCACUUUCUACUUGACCCUUGUUUGGUGGGAAUUAAAAUCAGAUUUUUAGUAGAUUAUGAUAACAGUUGAUAAAAUGUAUGGUUGAAAAAUUGUGAAACUCAUGUAAUAUGUGAUUAAAAUUAAUUGUCGACUUUGACUUAAAUUAAAAUUUGA